This 1342-nucleotide long non-coding RNA is filed under the name Homo sapiens (human). RNAcentral's name for it is "HSALNT0360871". Lineage: Eukaryota; Metazoa; Chordata; Mammalia; Primates; Hominidae. The record is from RNAcentral.
AGUCCCCUCCCCACCCUAUCCUGGAGCUUGUCAAGGCCACCAGAGACCUGCUCCCUGUGCCGUCUCAGACUGGACUCUGGGGUCUCCGGUGCCUCCUCUGAUUCUGCACCUCGGUGCAGCCUCUGGCCUGGCUGCGCUCUGAGGAGCUCCCUGUGGCCACCGAGCCCUUGGAACGUGGCCAGUUCCAUUCUCAAACUGCUGUGAGUGCAAAGCUCAUGCUGGAUUUUGAAGAUUUGGUGAGAAAAAAAAUUUCUUUGUAAAAUGUCAGUAUUUCAUCAAUAGUAUAUUUUGUUGAUGAUAUGUUGAGAAACUAUUUUGGAUAUGUUUGUUUAAGUAGAUUGCUGGUGUGAGCCACCGCGCCCGGCCUGUCUUCUUCUUCCUAAGUAAGUGAAGGAAAUAAUGUAUACAGUGGUCCAUUUCCAAGACAAAGUGCCUUAAAUCAGCUUAGGUCAGCAAACUACAGAAGAAACAGGAUAUACUAGGCCCCUGCUUGGAUAGCUGAUGCCUUCUUGUCAGCCUUCUCCCUCCCCUUCUCCCUCCACUUAGUUGCCCUUACCCAAACCAGGGAAGUUUCGUCUAAGAUAAAAGUUUACUAGCCUGCAAAAUAGCUCGGUUUGUCUGUCCUUAUCAGCCUGCCCAGCUACUUAGCUCAUAAGUCAAAUACGCAGAGCCCCUGGGCUGACUGGGAUUGCAAUGCAUUGUGGGCUGCAACAAAAUGCAGCAGGACAACCCAAAAGAAGACACCUAAAGCUGCUGCCCAACAACCAAUGGGAAGACUGUGACCCCACAGUACUCAGCCUAUGAGGAUGCAGGGGAGGGGCCUGUGCACUGGGAGAUAAAUCGCUGGUUGUGACUGUGCUGUGAGUGCCUGCCCAUCAGAUAGAUACCUGAUCUUGCAAGACCGUCAUCAAAAGUCUCACUUUUGCUGUCUUCUGCGUUUCUAAAUCCAUUCUUUGGGUUCGGGCGAGUGAGUUUGUUUCUCACAGUAAGCUCUAGAACUUUGUGACUUAGCAGUUUAAGGAAAAAGCAAGUCUCUGUGGGGUCUCUCAAUGGCCAAAAAAUAGAGUGAGGAAUAAAUAGAGUUUUGUUUUGUUUUGUUUUGGUUUGUGGGUUUUGUUUCUUUGUUUGAAACAGGGUCUCACUCUGUCACCCAGGCUGAAGUGCAGUGGCACCAUCACAGAUCACUGCAGACUCCACCUCCUGGGCUCAAGCAAUCCUCCUGUCUCAGCCUCCCGAGUAGCUGGAACUCCCAAGUAACACACACAUUAGCAUGCCCAGCUAAUGUUUAAAUUAGGGUUUUAAUUCACAGAGAAAUAAAGAGCAUCUGAGCAUUCAUCUUCCA